Molecule: ribosomal RNA, 482 nt
Filed under: uncultured bacterium
Lineage: Bacteria
Description: partial 16S ribosomal RNA
Rfam family: Bacterial small subunit ribosomal RNA
Source: RNAcentral
AUUGAACGCUGGCGGCAUGCCUUACACAUGCGAGUCGAACGGUAACGGGCCUUCGGGUGCCGACGAGUGGCGCACGGGUGCGUAAUACAUCGGAACGUGCCCGAUCGUGGGGGAUAACGAGGCGAAAGCUUUGCUAAUACCGCAUACGAUCUACGGAUGAAAGCAGGGGACCGCAAGGCCUUGCGCGGACGGAGCGGCCGAUGGCAGAUUAGGUAGUUGGUGGGAUAAAAGCUUACCAAGCCGACGAUCUGUAGCUGGUCUGAGAGGAUGAUCAGCCACACUGGGACUGAGACACGGCCCAGACUCCUACGGGAGGCAGCAGUGGGGAAUUUUGGACAAUGGGCGCAAGCCUGAUCCAGCCAUGCCGCGUGCAGGAUGAAGGCCUUCGGGUUGUAAACUGCUUUUGUACGGAACGAAAAGCCUUCUUUUAAUACAGGAGGGUCAUGACGGUACCGUAAGAAUAAGCACCGGCUAACUACGUG